RNAcentral lists this ribosomal RNA (301 nucleotides) under uncultured bacterium. Its description in RNAcentral is "partial 16S ribosomal RNA". It matches the Rfam family "Bacterial small subunit ribosomal RNA", at positions 509 to 809 of the family's 1533-position model. The record is from RNAcentral.
CAGCAGCCGCGGGAAUACGUAGGGUGCGAGCGUUAAUCGGAAUUACUGGGCGUAAAGCGUGCGCAGGCGGUUGUGUAAGACAGGUGUGAAAUCCCCGGGCUUAACCUGGGAACUGCGCUUGUGACUGCACAGCUAGAGUAUGGCAGAGGGGGGUGGAAUUCCACGUGUAGCAGUGAAAUGCGUAGAGAUGUGGAGGAACACCGAUGGCGAAGGCAGCCCCCUGGGCCAAUACUGACGCUCAUGCACGAAAGCGUGGAGAGCAAACAGGAUUAGAUACCCCCGUAGUCCCUGUCUCUUAUAA